Molecule: small nuclear RNA, 104 nt
Organism: Dipodomys ordii (Ord's kangaroo rat)
Lineage: Eukaryota; Metazoa; Chordata; Mammalia; Rodentia; Heteromyidae
Source: Ensembl
GUGCUCGCUUGAGCAGCACAUAUACAAAAAUUGGAACAAUACAGAAAUUAGCAUGGCCCCUAUGCAAGGAUAUUACACAAAUUCAUGAAGCAUUCCAUAUUUAA